CCUACGGGGGGCAGCAGUGGGGAAUAUUGGACAAUGGGGGGAACCCUGAUCCAGCCAUGCCGCGUGUGUGAAGAAGGCCCUCGGGUUGGAAAGCACUUUCAGUGAGGAAGAACGCCUGGUGGUUAAUACCCAUCAGGAAAGACAUCACUCACAGAAGAAGCACCGGCUAACUCCGUGCCAGCAGCCGCGGUAAUACGGAGGGUGCGAGCGUUAAUCGGAAUUACUGGGCGUAAAGCGCGCGUAGGUGGCUUGAUAAGCCGGUUGUGAAAGCCCCGGGCUCAACCUGGGAACGGCAUCCGGAACUGUCAAGCUAGAGUGCAGGAGAGGAAGGUAGAAUUCCCGGUGUAGCGGUGAAAUGCGUAGAGAUCGGGAGGAAUACCAGUGGCGAAGGCGGCCUUCUGGAUUGACACUGACACUGAGGUGCGAAAGCGUGGGUAGCAAACAGGAUUAGAUACCCGGGUAGUC
This 465-nucleotide ribosomal RNA is filed under the name Vreelandella stevensii. RNAcentral's name for it is "partial 16S ribosomal RNA". It matches the Rfam family "Bacterial small subunit ribosomal RNA", at positions 338 to 795 of the family's 1533-position model. The record is from RNAcentral. Lineage: Bacteria; Pseudomonadati; Pseudomonadota; Gammaproteobacteria; Oceanospirillales; Halomonadaceae.